CCUACGGGAGGCUGCAGUCGAGAAUCUUCGGCAAUGGGCGCAAGCCUGACCGAGCGACGCCGCGUGCGGGAUGAAGGCCUUCGGGUUGUAAACCGCUGUCGGAGGGGAGGAAAUGCUUGGGGGUUCUCCCCCAGGCUUGACCUAUCCUCAGAGGAAGUACGGGCUAAGUUCGUGCCAGCAGCCGCGGUAAGACGAACCGUACAAACGUUAUUCGGAAUCACUGGGCUUAAAGGGUGCGUAGGCGGCGCUGAAAGUUGGGUGUGAAAUCCCUCGGCUCAACCGAGGAACCGCGCCCAAAACUACAGUGCUCGAGGGAGACAGAGGUGAGCGGAACUUAGGGUGGAGCGGUGAAAUGCGUUGAUAUCCUAAGGAACGCCAGUGGCGAAAGCGGCUCACUGGGUCUCUUCUGACGCUGAGGCACGAAAGCUAGGGGAGCGAAC
RNAcentral lists this ribosomal RNA (440 nucleotides) under uncultured bacterium. Its description in RNAcentral is "bacterial SSU rRNA". It matches the Rfam family "Bacterial small subunit ribosomal RNA", at positions 338 to 773 of the family's 1533-position model. The record is from RNAcentral.